Molecule: long non-coding RNA, 651 nt
Filed under: Androctonus crassicauda
Lineage: Eukaryota; Metazoa; Arthropoda; Arachnida; Scorpiones; Buthidae
Source: RNAcentral
AAUGUUGUAUCAGUUACACCUUUGCAGUUUGUCAAUGGCAUAACUUAUAGGAUGUAUAUAAAUAUUCGGAUUGACUUCUUUUGUUAUUUAACCUUCAUAUAUGUUUUCUAUGUGUUACUUAUGCAAGAUGGAUCAGUCUUAUUAAUAGCUCUUGGCAUUGAGUUCCUGUUGUUAUAAAUGGAAAUUGUUUCCGCUAUUUUUCCUUCCUUUGGGUGUUCUUGCUUACGUAUCAACUUCGCUUCUCCCCAUUUCACAUUCAAGUCAGAGAUUAGAGCCCUUUGUGCCAGUGCUGUUGUGGAUGUCGCUUUUUCAAUGUCUUUUUUUAUGUUCUUUGAGUCUUUUAUUCAAAGACCUGGAUGUUUAACCUAUGUAUUUCACAUUGUUUCAAAUCAUUAUCAAAUGCUGGAAUUUCUUAUACUCCCAGGAGUGCAGCUGGAUCAUAUUUAUCUUUGUUGUUUCUUAGUAUGUUAUAUAGCGUGUUUCUUCUAUUAAACACAAUUCUCGACCCUGUUGCCUUUUCUAAUUUCUUUUUAUAUUUCAUAGUGAUAAGAUUGAUUUCUAAUUUAUGUCUGUAUUUUUUAUUGUUGGCAUCUUUUUUGGUUUGAGUCUAUCACACUUCCUGGAUAUCUAUUUCAAUAUUCACAUAAAUAA